This 68-nucleotide transfer RNA is filed under the name Opisthorchis viverrini. Its description in RNAcentral is "tRNA-His". Lineage: Eukaryota; Metazoa; Platyhelminthes; Trematoda; Opisthorchiida; Opisthorchiidae. The record is from RNAcentral.
UCUCCUGUAGGUUACGGGGGUAAACUGUCGAUUUGUGGAGUCGGAGAGUCAUUGGUGUGGCGGGGGAA